CGGACCCUUCGGGGUUAGUGGCGGACGGGUGAGUAACACGUGGGAACGUGCCUUUAGGUUCGGAAUAGCUCCUGGAAACGGGUGGUAAUGCCGAAUGUGCCCUUCGGGGGAAAGAUUUAUCGCCUUUAGAGCGGCCCGCGUCUGAUUAGCUAGUUGGUGAGGUAAUGGCUCACCAAGGCGACGAUCAGUAGCUGGUCUGAGAGGAUGACCAGCCACACUGGGACUGAGACACGGCCCAGACUCCUACGGGAGGCAGCAGUGGGGAAUCUUGCGCAAUGGGCGAAAGCCUGACGCAGCCAUGCCGCGUGAAUGAUGAAGGUCUUAGGAUUGUAAAAUUCUUUCACCGGGGACGAUAAUGACGGUACCCGGAGAAGAAGCCCCGGCUAACUUCGUGCCAGCAGCCGCGGUAAUACGAAGGGGGCUAGCGUUGCUCGGAAUUACUGGGCGUAAAGGGCGCGUAGGCGGAUCGUUAAGUCAGAGGUGAAAUCCCGGAGCUCAACUUCGGAACUGCCUUUGAUACUGGCGAUCUUGAGUAUGAGAGAGGUAUGUGGAACUCCGAGUGUAGAGGUGAAAUUCGUAGAUAUUCGGAAGAA
Molecule: ribosomal RNA, 593 nt
Filed under: Brevundimonas sp. HPC350
Lineage: Bacteria; Pseudomonadati; Pseudomonadota; Alphaproteobacteria; Caulobacterales; Caulobacteraceae
Description: bacterial SSU rRNA
Rfam family: Bacterial small subunit ribosomal RNA
Source: RNAcentral